GAUGAACGCUGGCGGCGUGCCUAAUACAUGCAAGUCGAGCGAACAGACGAGGAGCUUGCUCCUCUGACGUUAGCGGCGGACGGGUGAGUAACACGUGGAUAACCUACCUAUAAGACUGGGAUAACUUCGGAAAACCGGAGCUAAUACCGGAUAAUAUAUUGAACCGCAUGGUUCAAUAGUGAAAGACGGUUUUGCUGUCACUUAUAGAUGGAUCCGCGCCGCAUUAGCUAGUUGGUAAGGUAACGGCUUACCAAGGCAACGAUGCGUAGCCGACCUGAGAGGGUGGUCGGCCACACUGGAACUGAGACACGGUCCAGACUCCUACGGGAGGCAGCAGUAGGGAAUCUUCCGCAAUGGGCGAAAGCCUGACGGAGCAACGCCGCGUGAGUGAUGAAGGUCUUCGGAUCGUAAAACUCUGUUAUUAGGGAAGAACAAAUGUGUAAGUAACUAUGCACGUCUUGACGGUACCUAAUCAGAAAGCCACGGCUAACUACGUG
This 497-nucleotide ribosomal RNA is filed under the name uncultured bacterium. RNAcentral describes it as "partial 16S ribosomal RNA". It matches the Rfam family "Bacterial small subunit ribosomal RNA", at positions 28 to 507 of the family's 1533-position model. The record is from RNAcentral.